This 460-nucleotide ribosomal RNA is filed under the name uncultured bacterium. Its description in RNAcentral is "SSU rRNA". It matches the Rfam family "Bacterial small subunit ribosomal RNA", at positions 26 to 518 of the family's 1533-position model. The record is from RNAcentral.
AGAAUCAACGCUGGCGGCGUGCCUAACACAUGCAAGUCGAACGAGAAAGGGGUAGCAAUACCCUGAGUAAAGUGGCGCACGGGUGAGUAACACGUGACUAACCUACCCUUGAGUGGGGGAUAACUGAGGGAAACCUUAGCUAAUACCGCAUAAUACCCACGGGUCAAAGGAGCAAUUCGCUCGAGGAGGGGGUCGCGGCCGAUUAGUUAGUUGGCGGGGUAAUGGCCCACCAAGACGAUGAUCGGUAUCCGGCCUGAGAGGGCGCACGGACACACUGGAACUGAAACACGGUCCAGACUCCUACGGGAGGCAGCAGUGGGGAAUUUUGCGCAAUGGGGAAACCCUGACGCAGCAACGCCGCGUGGAGGAUGAAGUCCUUCGGGACGUAAACUCCUUUCGAUCGGGACGAUUAUGACGGUACCGGAAGAAGAAGCCCGGCUAACUUCGCGCCAGCAGCCGC